GGGGAUUUAGCUCAGUGGUAGAGCGCUUGCCUAGCAAGCGUGAAGGCCCUGGGUUCAGUCCUCA
This 64-nucleotide transfer RNA is filed under the name Rattus norvegicus (Norway rat). It matches the Rfam family "tRNA". From Rfam's summary of the family: Transfer RNA (tRNA) molecules are approximately 80 nucleotides in length. Their secondary structure includes four short double-helical elements and three loops (D, anti-codon, and T loops). The record is from Rfam by way of RNAcentral. Lineage: Eukaryota; Metazoa; Chordata; Mammalia; Rodentia; Muridae.